GUGGGGAAUUUUGGACAAUGGGGGCAACCCUGAUCCAGCCAUCCCGCGUGUGCGAUGAAGGCCUUCGGGUUGUAAAGCACUUUUGGCAGGGAAGAAACAGCCUGGGCUAAUAUCCCGGGCGACUGACGGUACCUGCAGAAUAAGCACCGGCUAACUACGUGCCAGCAGCCGCGGUAAUACGUAGGGUGCAAGCGUUAAUCGGAAUUACUGGGCGUAAAGCGUGCGCAGGCGGUUCGGAAAGAAAGGUGUGAAAUCCCAGGGCUUAACCUUGGAACUGCACUUUUAACUACCGGGCUAGAGUACGUCAGAGGGGGGUAGAAUUCCACGUGUAGCAGUGAAAUGCGUAGAGAUGUGGAGGAAUACCAAUGGCGAAGGCAGCCCCCUGGGAUGAUACUGACGCUCAUGCACGAAAGCGUGGGGAGCAAACA
This 428-nucleotide ribosomal RNA is filed under the name uncultured bacterium. RNAcentral describes it as "bacterial SSU rRNA". It matches the Rfam family "Bacterial small subunit ribosomal RNA", at positions 354 to 774 of the family's 1533-position model. The record is from RNAcentral.